UUUCUUCACCUCUCGCCAGUGGCACGGCGUGGAAAGGCACCGCUGCUGCACACACGAUAGUUACUAGCACUAGGAGCUACGUACACGCCUCGCUCCAUGUGCAGUGGUGCGGCGCAACUGUAAAGCACCGGCAUAUACUCAGAAUUUGUUGCAAUGUCCGCUAUAAAAGGCUCCCGCGCCUUCUUCGCUUCUCCUGCAUUCACAAGUCACAGCUCACGAUUCUGCAAACCAUCAACAAGAAGAGGCUCCAUCACAUCUAGCCAGCUAGCCAAAGACGAUGAGGCCGAACGCCCUGACGCUGCCGCUACCUCUCGCCUUCCUCCUCCUCCUCCUCCUCCUCGUGCUAGCACCAGCUAAGGCGAGAGAUGAUUGUACAAGCCAUAUAUAUCAUCGGGUGCAAGAACAAACCCGAGCCGCCUUGUCCGUGCGACCGCGCGGAGUGUAGCUUCGACAGCCGUGUAGCGUUCGCUCAGCUUGGGUGCCCGAAAGAUGCGACCAGAUGCACUUGGACAGGACAGUGCAUCAACCGGGGGUGCAACUUCACCUACUGCGUAUAUAGAUAAGAUAGGUGGGCAUGUCGACCUGAUAAAAUAACAAAGAUGAUAUCAUAGAUGGCAAUGCAGUAUGUAGUUCUGUUCGCUGCAAAGUGAUGUACCUAAAUGGUGAAUUAUUUACAUGCCUACCAUGGAUAUGUCUCGUUUAUCA
This is a long non-coding RNA of Triticum aestivum (bread wheat), 705 nucleotides long. RefSeq lists it as uncharacterized. The record is from RefSeq and is a predicted model, not a curated record. The transcript has 2 exons. NCBI's taxonomy places the organism in Eukaryota, Viridiplantae, Streptophyta, Magnoliopsida, Poales, Poaceae.